UUUGAACAAGGAGCCUGCAUUUUCUACAUAUUGUCAGUGUAUCUUUUGAUAAUAAAGCUUUUACCAAGGAAAGGCUGUUAGUUUAGACCAGAAUCGUGUUUUGUAGUUGACCAGGAUAUGCAUAAAGGUAACUUUCAGGGUACCAACACUAAAUAAUGUACUAUUCGAAGUUUAUACAAAAAUUUUAUUUUUGAGUAUGGUAUCUUUAUCAAUUUCCAAAUUAGAUUUCAUAUUAAAAAAUAUGAGGCAAAGAAUUAGGAAAUGUAAAAAAUUAUAGUUGAACAUAUUUCGAACAAAAUUGAUGUUGAAUAGAUUUGGACAUUUUAUACAUAUUUAACAUCUGUGUUCUUUCUCAUAGCUAUGUUCAGAAUCCUAAACUUAUUAUACAGUAUGUCUGUGUAAUUUAGGCAUCAGUACUUAGGUAGCUCAGAACAUUCUUUUGUAUAAAGUGACCAAAAUUAGGCACUGUAAUGUAAGUACAAGAUAACGUCUUUCUGCACAAACAUUUACAGUACAACAUCAAACCUGCCAAUGCCGGAUACACCAUCUUCGAGUGAUGUUGAUGUUACAUUGGAAGCGGUAUCAGCAGAUGAAACAGACCAAUUUCAACCACCUGUGGCAAAAAAGCG
This is a non-coding RNA of Styela clava, 629 nucleotides long. The record is from RefSeq and is a predicted model, not a curated record. NCBI's taxonomy places the organism in Eukaryota, Metazoa, Chordata, Ascidiacea, Stolidobranchia, Styelidae.